This 1064-nucleotide long non-coding RNA is filed under the name Equus caballus (horse). RNAcentral's name for it is "lncRNA (ENSECAG00000051728.1)". Lineage: Eukaryota; Metazoa; Chordata; Mammalia; Perissodactyla; Equidae. The record is from RNAcentral.
GUGAACUCAUCGUCUCUAUGAACAGUUUUUCCAAACGAGAUGUGACAAGGGUGCUAUGACUGUAGCGUGAGGGAGGGGUUGGGAGAAGCAAAUCUUCUGAAGAAGCUUCCUCACCCUCUCUCAGCUCCCUGAUUUGUAGCCAACACUGAAUAAGGAGAAGUGAACUGUCCUGUGGUGGGACUUCUGACAGCCUUUCUCACUUGGUCAGAAAGAGGCAUUGCUAAUAUCUGCAUUAAAAACUCACCCUGCUUCGACUGGAAGCUGACCUAAGGUGGCUGUCCCAUUGGAACAAAUGUAACAAAGAUUCACAUAUAGACAUCAAUAACUGAUAAAGAAUUAGCCAUAAGUAUGCACUCCAAGACAUGGAAAUACGUCUCAAACUACCAUGACCGUCCUGUCACGAAGGCAAGGCUGUCACCACAUUGUUCACAAACGCUUGGCCCAGUGUAAUCUCAAGUGACAAAAGGGAAUAGGCUGUCACCACCCGCAUAGACAACGCUCCGUUGUGAUGGAACGAAUAGACUUUUAGGAGACAUCCUGAUACUCAAUAUAUGGUUUCCUUCCAAUAGCAUUGUCUGUUGCUUGCUCGUUUUAAACACAACUUAAUCGAUGCUGUGAAACUAAAUCCCAUUUUCUAGCUCCUGUAAGAAUUCAGUGCUUCUGAGUUUGAGCUUUGUUUUCGUAGUGACAUCAGUUUGUUUUAACAUUCCCAUUAGGGAUUCUUUUGUGAGGGGAGAUGUAAAUUAGGUUUUACUUUGUUUAUUCUGAGUUUGUCGUGAGCAGAAGUUUGAUGAAAUAAUCUUUGAAAAUCCAGAAGACCCUACACACUAUGGUAGCAUAAUCCAGUUUCCCCCUCACUAUUGCGUCUGACGUCCUUCUGAAAAAAAAAAUGAAUAUUUUAGGCAGGAGACAAACACGAGGGAAAGAAGAGGUUUGGGGGUGAAACUGGGGACAAAUGAGAACUCCAGUGCUUCGGUGAAAUGUAUCUGCUCGCUCAGUGUACCAGUUCUCAAUCUUCCAGCUUCCCCUGCUUUUCCACCCCAUUUGACUCCCCCACCUGCAAG